GCUUCUUUAGCUCAGUUGGUACGAGCGUUCGACUGAAGUUCGAAAGGUCACCUGUUCGACCCAGGUAAGGAGCA
RNAcentral lists this transfer RNA (74 nucleotides) under Pseudozyma hubeiensis. RNAcentral describes it as "tRNA-Phe". It matches the Rfam family "tRNA". Rfam says of the family: Transfer RNA (tRNA) molecules are approximately 80 nucleotides in length. Their secondary structure includes four short double-helical elements and three loops (D, anti-codon, and T loops). Lineage: Eukaryota; Fungi; Basidiomycota; Ustilaginomycetes; Ustilaginales; Ustilaginaceae. RNAcentral also lists the same sequence under 1 other name. The record is from RNAcentral.